Molecule: long non-coding RNA, 3164 nt
Organism: Cercocebus atys (sooty mangabey)
Lineage: Eukaryota; Metazoa; Chordata; Mammalia; Primates; Cercopithecidae
Exons: 3
Source: RefSeq, a predicted model, not a curated record
AGGGUCCUGGUCACGUGGGGAGAGUGGGCGGGGGAAGUUCGGAGAGCGGGAUCUGGAUUGUAGUGGGCUGGGCCCCACUGAGCUGGGAUGGCAGGAGGAUAGUCUUGGGGAGGAGCGUGGGGUGCUGGAUGCAUAACUACGUCCCGAACUGGUUCCUGUGUUUUUCUAGGGCAUGUGGGCUAGGGAUGGGUACUUGAGCAGAAGCCAGCAACUUGAAUGAAGAGUCUGUGCAGGAGUUACCUGCAGUGUCGGAAAUGACUGUCCUGUAUGCUCAACAAGCUCAUUUAUGGAAAGUCAUCCAUUUGUUGAGACCAGCCCAAAAGACCCUCAGGAACUUAGAAUAUUCCUACCGACUUUGAAGACCAUAGCCCCAAAGCUGAGCUGUGAAAUGGAGCAGCAAAGAAGGUAUCAUUGUCAAAGCUCAAGUUCCAUCAUAAUGAUAAAGUAGGCAGAAAGUGUUUUGGGGGCCACCACUGCCUUCUCUUUCUGCACUAUCUCCUACCUCCCUUCCCUCCCAAGUGCCCAGGGUCCUAGUCCACAUCCGAUCUAUUUGGGGUUCCUCUGCAGCAUCCUACUAAAGCUUAUUUUUCAUGGGUAUAUUCUAAAGUGAACCAAAUCCUAUCUUUCAACAAAAGUUGCUACUCUUUAUUCCAUUUUUUAUGGGCCCCAUUUUUUUCCUCGGGAAAGAUAAUAUUCAAAAAAUCUAUUUCUGAUAAAUUGUUAAUGAUGAGAAUGGAUUUAGGAUAAUGUCUGGCACAAAAAUACUUGCUGAAGAUAUAAAAGCAUCUGGUAAUCUAAUAAUAUCUCUAGGUCACAUGUAUAUGUUCUAACAGGGGCCACUUGGAUACAUUUCUUAAAUUACAGAAAAUGAUGUGGUUAUAAAGUAAUCCAAUAAUAAUUGAUUGAAUUAUGUCUCUUUGCUCUUCAUCAACUCAUUUAUGGAAGGUCAUCCAUUUAUUGAGACCAGCCCAAAACACCCUCAGGAACUAAAUUGGACAGUUCCAGACCUAUAAGAAAGUUCUAUCUGGGGGAUAUAGCGCACUCACGUAAAUGAGACACAGCUGGGAAUGGAGCUGCAACUUGAAGAGCUGCUGAGGAUCAUCAUUCCUUUUUCUUUACGUGGCUGCAUGAUCCUUCUUCUAUGCAUCAUUUUGCAAGUAUGCUCUCUUCUGUUUGGCAAACUGACUUUCUUUGCUUACUCUUGGUCUCUGAUCAUCCAUAGCUUUGUCUUGCCCAUGACUUUGGUUUGACAUAGUGUUGACCUGUGAACAGACCCUAGAUGAGCUUUCACAAAGCUUUCUAUGUUGAACUGACUCUGUUAUUCUCCAGAUUCCCAGGAGAAGAAUCUGAUUGGUUGAAUUUGGGUCAGCUAUGCACCCAACAUGAUUAAUUCAGCUGAAAGUAGGAGAGGGAGCACAUGAUCAACACAUGGUCACCUCUGCCCAUUCCUUUAGCAGCUCUAGUGGACUGAGGUGAAGGAUGGCAUUUAUCAGGGAAGGGAGUUUGGGCAGAUACAUUUCUUAAGACAUAUCUACCACAGCCUUAGUGGGUGGGUAAAAUGUGGAAGAAAUUAACUUCUGUAAGAGGAAAUGGCACCAACAAAAGCACAAAGCAAAGAUAUUUUUUAUAUAUACAUAUUCAGUAAAUUUUCUAGAUUAAUUAGACUGAUGUUCAAGGAUCAUUACAUAGUCUGGAUUUAUUGUAGCCCAAGAUAUACAUAGAGGACAAUAAGGUAAUGAGGCUGGAGAUACAUUCUAGUAUCAGAUUGUCAAGGGCAUUUUAAAUGCCAGACUGAGGCAUUUAGAUUUUUUAGGGUGUCUCUAAUGUCUGAGGAUACACCAUGGAGGGAAGCUGCCAAGUUUUUCUGGAAAAUAUUAUUUGGUUCCUGGGUAAACCCUAGGAUCGAGUCAAGUAGCAGGUUAAUUUCAUUUUACAGUGCAUUGAAAGAGAAAUCAAUCCACAAAUUGAAAUAAUGUAGAAAGAAGUCUACUUAGAUUAAGAGUCUACUUAGUAAGUUAGUAAAAAAAAAAAAAAAUAGAUUAUCUGUUAUUUCAACACUUUUAAAAUAAAGCUAGUAGAUCUCUACAAAUGACCUAAUUAAAAAUCCAAGCCAAGAAGCCAAUAGCCAUUACACAACAAAUACAGAUAACAAUGACAACAACAACAGCAGCAGCAGCAUUUAUAAGGUUUCUUCUAUGGGCCCACUACUGUUUUAAGCAUUUGUGUGAAUGGUAUAAGGUAAGUGAAUGAGUGUUUUAUUCAUCUGUUAAACACAUAUAAUCUUUUUCUUUCAUGGCCCAGAAUCACUGAAUCUUAAGAGUUGUGAAGGACUGUGACCUCCAUGCCAGGGGCAGAGUCUCCUUUAGAAAUAUCUGUUAAUCCUCUAACAGUUACCAGAGUCUGUCUGGUAAUUGGCCAUUUACCUAGAACCUAACAGAAUCCAGAUUAUAUAGCCCUAUGGUUCUGAAGACUGGACAGGCAGUUUCAUGUACAGAGGUACAGCUGACUUGCAUACUAUAUGUUGGGCCUUAAAGUCCACAUUAGAAUAUCAAAGUGUUUUGUAAACUGCAUGUCUCUAUAGAGAAUACAAAUCUACUCUAGGAUUUGAUAAGUCUGCUUCUUGCUUUAAAUUUAAUGCUAAUGGUAAACUGAAAAAGAUUUCUAGUGACAGAUAAUUAGUGAUAAUGGUAAUUACUGGCCUUUAUAUAGUCUUUCACCCAAACAGACGGCAGAGCACUCACAAAAUGAGUGCUUUAAGGCAUAAUUUCUCCCCCUUCUUAAAUAAAAGUUCCUCUAGGGUCAGCAAUAGUUUGUAUUUAACACACUGCAUUAUGUUACCCAUAACUAAACAACCAUUUCCAGACAAUUCAGUUAGUCUGUUAAUUUGCUUAGCAAUUAGCUUUGAAUGGAUUUUUUUGCCCUGAAUACAUUAUAAAUGUAUGAAUGCAUGUUUGCCUUGCUUAUUUUUCUUAUUAUUUUAUUUAACUUUUGUAAGCCACUGUGGUUACCAUCGCAUGGAUGAUUUCCAGGGAGCGGGAGGCUGGGUCACUUUGCAGGCUUCCACAGGCCCUGUCUCCAUGAACAGAAGUUAGCCUCUUGUAGAUGGAGCCAUCCAUCCCCAUACAUUUGUUGCUGUUUUCAUUUGUUUGUUUUGAGACGAAGUC